GUGCUCGCUUCCGCAUCACAUAUACUAAAAUUGGAACGAUACAGAGAAGAUUGGCAUGGCCC
RNAcentral lists this small nuclear RNA (62 nucleotides) under Sus scrofa (pig). Lineage: Eukaryota; Metazoa; Chordata; Mammalia; Artiodactyla; Suidae. The record is from RNAcentral.